GGAUUCCCUUAGUAACGGCGAGUGAACAGGGAUUAGCCCAGCACCGAAGCCUGCGGCCGUUUGGCUGCUAGGCAAUGUGGUGUUUAGGUCGGUUCUUGGCAUUACUGACUUAUCCCAAGUCCAGCAAUGAGUACGGCUUUUUGGAGUGGCCCAAAGAGGGUGAAAGGCCCGUGGGGAUUUGUUUGGUUUUGUUCUGAGCUGACCAUGGAGUCGGGUUGUUUGUGAAUGCAGCCCAAAGCGGGUGGUAAACUCCAUCCAAGGCUAAAUACUGGCACGAGUCCGAUAGCGAACAAGUACCGUGAGGGAAAGUUGAAAAGUACUUUGAAGAGAGAGUAAACAGUGCGUGAAACCGCUCGGAGGUAAACGGGUGGAGUUGAACUGCAAUCCAUGGGGAUUCAGCUGAUGAACGUGGUAUGCGCUUGGGCAUUUUGGUCGUCCUGUGUGGUCCGCUUAGUGGCGGGUUUCUGCUCUUUGAGUGGGAAUGUGCGAGGCACUUGUUUUGUGCUGUAUGCAACACAGGUUACGGGCUUGUUCGUCAGUGCACUUUCUCAUGGUGUUCACCACGACCGGUGUUGCUGUCUGUCUGCUUUGGUUAAACUGGCCAGGCUUGGCCUAUUGGUCAGACCUGGUCGGGAUGGCAGGUAGCUCAUUGAUUCUUGUCGGUCUUGGCUGGCCUGAGUCUUUGGGUGUAAUUAGCUGGCUUUGGCAGAUCUGUGCAGUGCGCCGGGGCUUGCGGCUUUGGUGUGUGCAUGCGUGCUGUGGCCUUCCGACGGGAUGGGUUCUGGUUGGUAUUUACCUGCCUUGGUAGGUGGGCUGAUGUCCCGGUCCCGUUGGGUUGGCGGUUGCGCGUGUGACACUUGUUUGGGCCUAUAGUCUGUGGUGUAGUGGUAAACGAUCCACCUGACCCGUCUUGAAACACGGACCAAGGAGUUUAACAUGUACGCGAGUCAUUGGGCUUUACGAAACCCAAAGGCGCAWUGAAGGUAAAGGUUCGGAAU
RNAcentral lists this ribosomal RNA (998 nucleotides) under Spirorchiidae sp. 3 W810. Its description in RNAcentral is "eukaryotic LSU rRNA". It matches the Rfam family "Eukaryotic large subunit ribosomal RNA", at positions 72 to 742 of the family's 3401-position model. Lineage: Eukaryota; Metazoa; Platyhelminthes; Trematoda; Strigeidida; Spirorchiidae. The record is from RNAcentral.